UACAGAGGUGGCAAGCGUUGUUCGGAAUUACUGGGCGUAAAGGGCGCGUAGGCGGCCCGUCAAGUCCCGUGUGAAAGCCCCCGGCUCAACCGGGGAACGGCGCGGGAAACUAGCAGGCUUGAGUUCGGGAGAGGGAAGCGGAAUUCCGGGUGUAGCGGUGAAAUGCGCAGAUAUCCGGAGGAACACCGGUGGCGAAGGCGGCUUCCUGGACCAACACUGACGCUGAGGAGCGAAAGCCAGGGGAGCAAACGGG
RNAcentral lists this ribosomal RNA (253 nucleotides) under uncultured bacterium. RNAcentral describes it as "partial 16S ribosomal RNA". It matches the Rfam family "Bacterial small subunit ribosomal RNA", at positions 524 to 776 of the family's 1533-position model. The record is from RNAcentral.